This 496-nucleotide ribosomal RNA is filed under the name Diplomystes mesembrinus. RNAcentral describes it as "partial 16S ribosomal RNA". It matches the Rfam family "Bacterial large subunit ribosomal RNA", at positions 1923 to 2580 of the family's 2925-position model. The record is from RNAcentral. Lineage: Eukaryota; Metazoa; Chordata; Actinopteri; Siluriformes; Diplomystidae.
UUAAACGGCCGCGGUAUUUUGACCGUGCAAAGGUAGCGCAAUCACUUGUCUUUUAAAUGAAGACCUGUAUGAAUGGUGGAACGAGGGCUUAACUGUCUCCCUUUUCAAGUCAAUGAAAUUGAUCUGCCCGUGCAGAAGCGGGCAUAAACCUACAAGACGAGAAGACCCUUUGGAGCUUAAGAUACAAAGUCAACUAUGUCAAGAGCCCUAAAUCAGGACUAACCUAAUAGAACUGACCCCUAUCUUCGGUUGGGGCGACCGCGGGAGAAAACAAAGCUCCCACGCGGACUGGGUUAUUACCUAAAACUAAGAGAGACAUCUCUAAGUCGCAGAACAUCUGACCAUAAAGAUCCGGCAAUGCGCCGAUCAACGGACCAAGUUACCCCAGGGAUAACAGCGCAAUCCCCUUCCAGAGUCCAUAUCGACAAGGGGGUUUACGACCUCGAUGUGGGAUCAGGACAUCCUAAUGGUGCAGCCGCUAUUAAGGAUUCGUUGU